CUCUGAAUCUAGUGGAAUCAUUUCUGCACAAACUAGAGGAUGGAAACCAGUGUGCGGAAAUGCUUCUGCUACAUUUUUA
This is a microRNA precursor of Laticauda laticaudata (blue-ringed sea krait), 79 nucleotides long. Ensembl annotates it as microRNA 147b. Its record names the gene MIR147B. NCBI's taxonomy places the organism in Eukaryota, Metazoa, Chordata, Lepidosauria, Squamata, Elapidae. The record is from Ensembl.